GAAAUUCUCUGUUCCUUUGUUUUUGUUCAUUCGAAAGCGAAGCGAAUCAGGUCCUUGGGCCUGCUUGUGGUUACACAAGCUUGCCUUAAAUACAGUAGCUGGGCUUCAGCAGAGUUGUUAAGUAACAUUGAAAACUCUCGUAAAACGGAGCCUGCUCUCUAAUCGCCGUCACUGGCACCAUUUUUCUA
This 188-nucleotide unclassified non-coding RNA is filed under the name uncultured Exobasidium. Its description in RNAcentral is "sequence contains ITS2". The record is from RNAcentral. Lineage: Eukaryota; Fungi; Basidiomycota; Exobasidiomycetes; Exobasidiales; Exobasidiaceae.